CACUGUUUCCUUUCUGAGUGGA
RNAcentral lists this microRNA (22 nucleotides) under Macaca mulatta (Rhesus monkey). Its description in RNAcentral is "mml-miR-892c-3p". Its record names the gene mml-miR-892c-3p. RNAcentral also lists the same sequence under 2 other names. Lineage: Eukaryota; Metazoa; Chordata; Mammalia; Primates; Cercopithecidae. The record is from miRBase by way of RNAcentral.